RNAcentral lists this ribosomal RNA (340 nucleotides) under uncultured bacterium. RNAcentral describes it as "bacterial SSU rRNA". It matches the Rfam family "Bacterial small subunit ribosomal RNA", at positions 157 to 509 of the family's 1533-position model. The record is from RNAcentral.
CGACUGCUAAUACCGCAUGACGCAUGACCGGGGCAUCCCGGACAUGCCAAAGAUUUAUCGCUGAAAGAUGGCCUCGCGUCCGAUUAGAUAGUUGGCGGGGCAACGGGCCCCACCCAAGUCGACGAUCGGUAGCCGGACUGAGAGGUUGGCCGGCCACAUUGGGACUGAGAUACGGCCCAGACUCCUACGGGAGGCAGCAGUGGGGAAUAUUGGGCAAUGGACGCAAGUCUGACCCAGCAACGCCGCGUGAAGGAAGAAGGCUUUCGGGGUUGUAAACUUCUUUGACAGGGGAAGAGCAGAAGACGGUACCCUGAUAACAAGCCACGGCUAACUACGUGCC